CAAAACAUUAUAGGUCACUUUGGACCAAAGCCAUUGAAUUUGAAAAAUAUCCAACUUCAAGUGCUCAUAACUUUCUCAUGAAAACUCCAAAUGAUGCAAAAUUUAAGUCUAAAUUUAUUAUCUUAAAAUUAUAUACAACUUUUAUGUUGGAGGUGUUUCCAUUUGAGGGUUGCAUAAUUGAAACAGAAGGGCUUGAAGAGGCUGGGUUUUGGUAAAAAAAUUCAAAGGGGAACCUAGACAUGUU
RNAcentral lists this long non-coding RNA (244 nucleotides) under Lathyrus oleraceus (garden pea). RNAcentral's name for it is "Pisum sativum (pea) long non-coding RNA (PSAT_LNC032712)". The record is from RNAcentral. Lineage: Eukaryota; Viridiplantae; Streptophyta; Magnoliopsida; Fabales; Fabaceae.